GCCAAGCAUGGUGGUGCAUGCCUGUAAUCCCAGUUACUCGGGAGGCUGAGGCAGGAGUAUUGCAAGUUCAAAGCCAGCCUCAGCAACUUACCAAGGCUGUGAGCAACUUAGAUUCUGUCUCAA
This 123-nucleotide small RNA is filed under the name Marmota monax (woodchuck). The record is from RNAcentral. Lineage: Eukaryota; Metazoa; Chordata; Mammalia; Rodentia; Sciuridae.